This 641-nucleotide ribosomal RNA is filed under the name uncultured euryarchaeote. RNAcentral's name for it is "bacterial SSU rRNA". It matches the Rfam family "Archaeal small subunit ribosomal RNA", at positions 156 to 799 of the family's 1478-position model. Lineage: Archaea; Methanobacteriati; Methanobacteriota. The record is from RNAcentral.
AUAGUUCUGGGAUGCUGGAAUGCGCCCAGAACGAAAACUCCGGUGCCAGAGGAUGGGUCUGCGGCCUAUCAGGUAGUAGUGGGUGUAACGUACCCUCUAGCCUACGACGGGUAUGGGCCUCGGGAGAGGAAGCCCAGAGAUGGGCUCUGAGACACGAGUCCAGGCCCUACGGGGCGCAGCAGUUACGAAACCUUCACAAUGUGGGAAACCACGAUGAGGGGAUUCCGAGUGCUAACGCAUUCGCGUUAGCUGUUCUCAUGCCUAAAAAGCAUGAGAAGUAAGGGCCGGGUAAGACGGGUGCCAGCCGCCGCGGUAAUACCCGCGGCCCGAGUGGUGCUUGAUAUUAUUGAGCCUAAAACGUCCGUAGCCGGUUCUGUAAAUCCAUGGGUAAAUUGAACAGCUCAACUGUUCGAAGUCCGCGGACACUGCAGGACUCGGGACUGGGAGAGGUCAGAGGUACUUCUGGGGUAGGGGUAAAAUCCUGUAAUCCUGGAAGGACCACCAGUGGCGAAGGCGUCUGACUAGAACAGAUCCGACGGUGAGGGACGAAGCCCUGGGGCGCAAACGGGAUUAGAUACCCCGGUAGUCCAGGGUGUAAACGCUGCGGGCUUGGUGUUGGAGGUUCUAAGGGAACGUCCAGU